UGCGUAGGCGGAAAUUUAAGUCAGUGAUGAAAUCCUGCGGCUCAACCGUAGGACUGUUAUUGAUACUGAAUUUCUUGAAUACAGUUGAGGUAGGCGGAAUGAGUAAUGUAGCGGUGAAAUGCUUAGAUAUUACUCAGAACACCGAUUGCGAAGGCAGCUUGCUAAACUGUGAUUGACGCUGAGGCACGAAAGCGUGGGGAGCGAACA
RNAcentral lists this ribosomal RNA (207 nucleotides) under uncultured bacterium. Its description in RNAcentral is "partial 16S ribosomal RNA". It matches the Rfam family "Bacterial small subunit ribosomal RNA", at positions 568 to 774 of the family's 1533-position model. The record is from RNAcentral.